Molecule: ribosomal RNA, 506 nt
Filed under: uncultured bacterium
Lineage: Bacteria
Description: partial 16S ribosomal RNA
Rfam family: Bacterial small subunit ribosomal RNA
Source: RNAcentral
AGUGAACGCUGGCGGUAGGCCUAACACAUGCAAGUCGAACGGCAGCACAGGUGAGCUUGCUCUCUGGGUGGCGAGUGGCGGACGGGUGAGGAAUACAUCGGAAUCUACUCUGUCGUGGGGGAUAACGUAGGGAAACUUACGCUAAUACCGCAUACGACCUACGGGUGAAAGCAGGGGACCUUCGGACCCUGCGCGAUUGAAUGAGCCGAUGUCGGAUUAGCUAGUUGGCGGGGUAAAGGCCCACCAAGGCGACGAUCCGUAGCCGGUGUGAGAGGAUGAUCAGCGACACUGGAACUGAGACACGGUCCAGACUCCUACGGGAGGCAGCAGGGGGGAAUAUUGGACAAUGGGCGCAAGCCUGAUCCAGCCAUACCGCGUGGGUGAAGAAGGCCUUCGGGUUGUAAAGCCCUUUUGUUGGGAAAGAAAUCCAGCUGGCUAAUACCCGGUUGGGAUGACGGUACCCAAAGAAUAAGCACCGGCUAACUUCGUGCCAGCAGCCGCCGUAA